UUGAAAGCAUCCAUCUUGUCUCCUCAGAAUCUCCUCUUUUUGAAACUAAAUAUUCCUAGUUUUUUCAGGUGGUUUGUAUUGAAAGAGCUGUCUGAAUCUUCUAGGUCUUAUGACCCACAAGAUGGAGGACUAGACCUUCUCUCUUAUCCUCACAAUCUCUUAAAACUCCUCAAAAUGAAUUUGGUGCCAAAGCUAAAAUAAUUUCAGCUAUUUUCAUAGUUUAGGACAUUCAGAACUCAAAAGAUUAAUAGGAAAAAAACUCAUUAACUGAUACCUGCUCUAUCACUGACAUUGAAGUGGCACUAACUGAACUAAGGAUCUGAUGCCUAGACUUGCAACAUAACCCAAUCACAUUCCCCAGUCUUACUCCCUCUUUUCUUGCAGUUGAGAUGUAGGCUAUAGGCUGAAGAAAUUUGCUAGGGCAUUAGUGGUCAGUGCCAUGGCAACACUGCAAAAGAUCUCUGCAAGAUAAUGGAGGAAAAAAGAAAGGAUCAUUAAUAUGACUGGGCUUGAAAUAGACUUCAACCACACAUGCCAACCAUAACUUCUCUCAGAGCUCCUCAAAUCAAAAUGACAGAAAUCACUCUUGGCACUGUGGCAUUAGUGUGGCAGUGCUCUAAACUGUGGAAUUUGAGAAUGGAGGGGAAAAGGGUGUGGAACUGAGCAUCAUGUGUGAGGUUAGGGGAAAGAGAACCAUGCAUCAUUUCCAACAAGCCUGAGAAAAAGAGCCUAACAUCCAGUUGGAGCCAAUUUUGUCUCCCUAAAAGUCACUUGGGACAGAGAUUUAAAUUGGAGAACUAUGAAGUGCCCAUUAGGGGAGGAUACUUAAAUGCUUUAAGAUCCAGGCCCCCAGGGUAACCACCAUCAGAGGAGAGGGAGUCAGAAAGUGAGCAAUAGAAGAAAAGAAAGCUGAAAAAGACUGAAAUUGCCAAAGAUGUUGAGAGAUGAAAAACACAAAGACCUUGAACAUAGGUAGACAAAUUAAUUGGGGAGACAUUAACAACAGAAGGAAAUAUGACUUCCAGAUUUAGCAAAUGAGUUCCAGCAUCUAUAAACAUAUACUGCAAAACAAAGGGAAAUGAUUCAACAUUUGAUUAGACAAGUGACCCUGUGAAAUUUGAGAACAGAAAAAUAUAACAUAUUCUUCCUUAGUGGCUUAAAAUAGAGAGUUAUGAGAACAGAUCUUAUGGCCUCCACAGCAAAAAUAAUGGUCAGAAUAGAAAAAGUUGAAACUGCAAUGACAAGUCUCACUAGAGAAACAAAAGAGAAAAUAACUUAUUGGGAAUACAAUUCUAUAAAAGUGAAAGACAAUCUAAAAAAAGAAAAGCAAAAAGCAAUAAUGUAAAAAGAAACUAUGUUAUCUGUCCAAGCAAUAUACUCAUCUCUAAGAUAUGGUAUUAGAGACCAUUUAAAAGAUAAGUUUCCCAGAAGAUCACAAGUCAAAAAAUUUGAAAACAAUGAUGCAAGAAACAAUAGAAGAAAACUUCCCAGAACUGAGCAUAGCAAAUGAAAUACCAAUUGAAAAUAAUUCACAGAUCUUCUCCAGAAAAAAACCAAGGCUGUAAACUCCUAGAUACAGAGUAUUAAAUUUAAUAAUUCAAUUCAGAAACAAACAACCAGGAUAAAGACUUUCAAAUACAAUGGAAAGGAAGUUAAGAAUAGCACAAGACUAUUCUAUAGCCACCAGAAAACUCAUGAGGGAAUGGAAUAUAUUCUAAAGAGCAAAGGAAUUCAGGAUAUAGCCCAAGGUGACCUCUUCAAAUCUGAGCUUUACUAUAAAUAAAAAAAGAUAUGAUCACAAGAAGCAUUUGAAGCAUUCUUAGAAGGAAAACCAGACCUAAAGAUACUAGUUGCUUCUCAAACACUCAGACAACAGAGUUGCAAGAGGAGUGAAUAAAUGCAUCAGCAAAAAAACAAGACAGAAAAAGAAUGACAGCAGAGACACUAGUAAUAGAUUUCUUUCUUAAUGUCCACAAAGCUUUGGGUGAAAGUGGAAAACAGAUGGAGGUAAUGGUGAAAAAGUGAGCGUUGGACAUCGUGGACAUAACCACGUGACACCCUGCCUAAAAAUGAACUAGUGGGUUUUGUUUUGUUUUGUUUUGGGGAGUGGGGGAACUCCAUUACAAAGUAGGAGAGGAAGGCAGGGGGACAGAGGGGAAUAUGUGAUGUGCUUGGGUCAAAUCAAGAUUGAGCAAUGAGAGGAAGGUGGCCCUUUUAGUCUCCUAGGAAGAAAAGAGCCCUUAGGUAUAAGGUAAGGAAGAGAGAUGCCAGUCGAAUUGACAGGUAGUCUGAAGAAGCAGCCGGGAAAGGGAAGGGAAUAUUGGGAGUUCUGAAAGAGCUGACUAGAACUUUGAAGUCAACAGCCAGGAGGGGGCACUUCCAAUCUGGGAAGUGAACAGGGAAGGUGUUUUCCUGGGAGCGGGAGCCAAGAGCCCAUUCAGCUGAGACUUGUCUUCCUUCUGCAAUCCCAAAAAUACCUCCACUGAGACUCUGCUAUAACAACUACAUCUCUUCUCAAAAAGGACUUAGUUUGAACUCUUUUUGACCGGAGAUGAAUAAAUUGAAGACCAGAGAAGCAAAGAAAGAAAAGAAAUGCCAUAACAGAGACCAGAACCUGUCUCCCAUGACUAAAUCUGGAGCUUUUUACACUGAGGAACAAGGAAAAUGUUGCCUCCUUAGCCAUUUUUUAUUCCUUCAAAGGAAUAUUUCUUCUUAGAUUUGUAUUGGUCAUUUUCUCCCCUACCACUCUAGAUGAGAAUCCUCUCCUGCAGCCUU
Molecule: non-coding RNA, 2775 nt
Organism: Monodelphis domestica (gray short-tailed opossum)
Lineage: Eukaryota; Metazoa; Chordata; Mammalia; Didelphimorphia; Didelphidae
Source: RefSeq, a predicted model, not a curated record